UUAAACACUACAGGUCCUCACAGCACAUGCUGUUCUCAGGUGCUAUUCAAUGUGUAGAGACCCACAGCCAAGCCUGAGAUCAAUGUACCUCAUCCUGACUCCUUGUUCUUAUUAUUCCUCUGCUUAUUUAAGCAGUGUGGUCACCUACAGCACUGUGAGUCCUGCCUGUAGCUCCUGAUGACUGUUCAGCAUUCAUGGCAAAACACAGGCUUCAGCUGCUCAGGUGCACUGCCAGUCACUGUCCCAGCUCUCCUGAAGGGAACUCACAAGUGCAGCCUCGUGUUUUUCAAAGCAAUUGUCUUGUAUCACAGCCCAGUUCCUCAGGACAAAGAGGCAGAGAUGGACAGAUACCCUCUCGGGGAGGCAGCCUGGCUCUACCAGCCUCAAAGGGGCAGGCAGGCAGUUGGAACAGGCUUUUCACACUGGAAGUGCACUGACCUCAGAAAAAACGGGAUGUAGAAACAACCCUCAUGUGAAAAACAUUUAAUGGAGUAUUGCAUAAAACAGUCUGCCAUGAGACGACUUGAAAGACUUGUUUCAGUAAAGCUGUGUGGGAAACAAACAGAAAGCCAGUUAUUUUGUGUCCCAUGACAGAUUUUGCCUGUGUUUUGGUUGGGUUUUUUGUUUUGGUUUUUUUUUGUUUGUUUUGGUUGGUUGGUUUGGGUUUUUUUAUACAGGUUAGCGAGUCUAAAGG
This 694-nucleotide long non-coding RNA is filed under the name Manacus vitellinus (golden-collared manakin). RNAcentral describes it as "lncRNA (ENSMVIG00005006655.1)". The record is from RNAcentral. Lineage: Eukaryota; Metazoa; Chordata; Aves; Passeriformes; Pipridae.